Molecule: ribosomal RNA, 484 nt
Filed under: uncultured bacterium
Lineage: Bacteria
Description: partial 16S ribosomal RNA
Rfam family: Bacterial small subunit ribosomal RNA
Source: RNAcentral
AUUGAACGCUGGCGGCAGGCCUAACACAUGCAAGUCGAGCGGAUGAAGAGAGCUUGCUCCUGGAUUCAGCGGCGGACGGGUGAGUAAGGCCUAGGAAUCUGCCUAGUAGUGGUUUAUAACGUCCUGAAACGGGCGCUAAUACCGCAUACGUCCUGAGGGAGAAAGUGGGGGAUCUUCGGACCUCACGCUCUCAGAUGAGCCUAGGUCGGAUUAGCUAGUUGGUGGGGUAAAGGCCUACCAAGGCGACGAUCCGUAGCUGGUCUGAGAGGAUGAUCAGUCACACUGGAACUGAGACACGGUCCAGACUCCUACGGGAGGCAGCAGUGGGGAAUAUUGGACAAUGGGCGCAAGCCUGAUCCAGCCAUGCCGCGUGUGUGAAGAAGGUCUUCGGAUUGUAAAGCACUUUAAGUUGGGAGGAAGGGCAGUAAGUUAAUACCUUGCUGUUUUGACGUUACCAACAGAAUAAGCACCGGCUAACUUCGUG